RNA transcript from Mya arenaria, 1383 nucleotides. It is a transcript of the gene named putative inhibitor of apoptosis, with no coding region annotated. The transcript is spliced from 4 exons. The record is from RefSeq and is a predicted model, not a curated record. NCBI's taxonomy places the organism in Eukaryota, Metazoa, Mollusca, Bivalvia, Myida, Myidae.
GGAUAGGGUAUAUAAACGAAAAAAAAAACGAAACGUACAUUCAUAUUGUUCAUUUGCUUUUGAGACAUAACAUCAAUUAAAUACGACGAUUGAUCUCAAUUCAUACGUUCAUAACUGCUUUAGAGGGAUAAUAUCAUUGAUAGACGCAAGUGAAUAAAUAAGUGCACUACGUUACAUACAAAUUAAAUGCCAGAAAUUAACGACUUCAAGGAGUUGAACAACAGAAUUAGAAGCUUCGCCAACUGGAGCUUCCUUUCUGAUUCCUCCAAACUUGCUAAUGCAGGAUUUUAUGCAACAGUGGCAGAUUGCGACGGAGUACUGGGGACCGGAGUAUUACACGUAUUACACGUAUGAAUUUUCUCUUAUAUACGCGUCCCCUGCCUUCCUCGAUAUAAUUCAACCGAACUGUUUAUAGUUCAUCAAACCUAAUAUCAAAUUGUUAUAUAUCUACACAUAUGAUGUAAGUAUGUAAAAAUAAUGAACAUUGGCUUAUUAUGAGUUAUUACUAGAACUAAAAAUUAUCCAAUAAAUCGACUUAUGUGUAAGGUUAUAUUGAACUGAUAUUAAUUUUGCAUCUACAGGAUACCACGACCUUGUUCGAUGUUAUGCAUGCGGUCUUGGGCUAAGAUAUCUAAACGCCGAUGAUGACCCGCUAUCAGAGCAUAUUAAAAACUGCACGUCAUCGUGCGCCUUCCUGAACGAGCUCGCAGGCGAACAUCAAGAUCUUAAUGCUGAAGAGCCGGAUAUAUCAGACACCGAGGAGGAGCUAGAACAGCUAGAAGAGCAAAAUGAUCGACUAAGGGAAAGAACUACAUGCAAAAUUUGUCGAGAGAGACAGGCGAUAAUCUUGCUGCUGCCUUGUAGUCAUCUAGCCGCAUGCGUGCAAUGUGGAUCAAACUUAUCCAUCUGUCCAGUAUGUAGCAGACCAGUCGUGGAGACGAUCAAGACGUUCCUGGGUUGAGGCUAGUGAUGAUCUAUUCAAUAAUCCCUCGGAUAACAUGAGAACAUCUCCAUUGACCAUCGUCCUCAGUUUCGUUGGAUUAAUGUGACCUGACGUAUAACCGUCUUGUUUAAUAGCUUUUAAUACACUUAUUUAUAGAGUUAUAAAUUCAAAGCAAAGACAUGAUGUCUUAAAAACUAAUAGUGUGUAGCAAACCAGUUAAUGAGUCGGUAAAGACUUUCCUAGUGUGAAUCUACCGAUGAUCUAUUCAACAGAUGCACGGAAAGCGUGGGAACAUCACCAUUUUCCGUCGUCGUCAGAUCUUGUGGAUUAAAGGGACCUUACAUUUUACAGUUGUUUGAUGUUUUGCAAUGUUUACUUCCGUCCAUUUAAUAUGCAAAUAUGAAGUUUAUAACGUAUUGUUAAUAAAAUAUGCUGUAUAA